Lactobacillus iners DSM 13335 is the source of this 98-nucleotide regulatory RNA element. It matches the Rfam family "Purine riboswitch aptamer". Rfam says of the family: Riboswitches are metabolite binding domains within certain messenger RNAs that serve as precision sensors for their corresponding targets. Allosteric rearrangement of mRNA structure is mediated by ligand binding, and this results in modulation of gene expression. NCBI's taxonomy places the organism in Bacteria, Bacillati, Bacillota, Bacilli, Lactobacillales, Lactobacillaceae. The record is from Rfam.
UCGAAAUCAAAAAAAUAAACUUAUAUAUUGUCAUAAUAAGGUUGAUAGUUUCUACCCAAAACCGUAAAUUUUGGACUAUAGGUUUUAAGCUAAUAUUC